CCAGUUUUCCCAGGAUU
This 17-nucleotide microRNA is filed under the name Homo sapiens (human). RNAcentral's name for it is "hsa-miR-4328". The record is from miRBase by way of RNAcentral. Lineage: Eukaryota; Metazoa; Chordata; Mammalia; Primates; Hominidae.